This 60-nucleotide transfer RNA is filed under the name Orthione mesoamericana. RNAcentral describes it as "tRNA-Leu". It matches the Rfam family "tRNA". Rfam says of the family: Transfer RNA (tRNA) molecules are approximately 80 nucleotides in length. Their secondary structure includes four short double-helical elements and three loops (D, anti-codon, and T loops). The record is from RNAcentral. Lineage: Eukaryota; Metazoa; Arthropoda; Malacostraca; Isopoda; Bopyridae.
CUCAGUUUAGCAAAAUUAAUGCAUUGGUUUUAGAAGCCAAAGAUACCCAGGUAACUGAGA